This 486-nucleotide ribosomal RNA is filed under the name uncultured bacterium. Its description in RNAcentral is "partial 16S ribosomal RNA". It matches the Rfam family "Bacterial small subunit ribosomal RNA", at positions 28 to 507 of the family's 1533-position model. The record is from RNAcentral.
GAUGAACGCUGGCGGCGUGCCUAAUACAUGCAAGUCGAACGCUGGAGAUCUAGCUUGCUAGAUCGAAGGAGUGGCGAACGGGUGAGUAAUACAUAAGCAACCUACCCACGAAGACUGGGAUAAUCUCUGGAAACGGGGACUAAUACCGGAUAGGUAAUCGGAAGGCCUCUUCUGGUUAUUAAAGGUUAAAAACACUGGUGGAUGGGCUUAUGGCGCAUUAGUUAGUUGGUGAGGUAACGGCCCACCAAGACGAUGAUGCGUAGCCGGCCUGAGAGGGUGAACGGCCACAGUGGGACUGAGACACGGCCCAGACUCCUACGGGCGGCAGCAGUAGGGAAUUUUCGGCAAUGGGGGCAGCCCUGACCGAGCAACGCCGCGUGAGUGAAGACGGCCUUCGGGUUGUAAAGCUCUGUUGUAAGGGAAGAACGGUAGAUAGAGAAUAUCUAAGUGACGGUACCUUACCAGAAAGCCACGGCUAACUACGUG